GAAAAGGUGGUUGGUUCUGAGCGAUCAGCCCUUCUUGGUUGUCUUUGUCAAGGCAUAAACUCUCGCAGAUAUCCCUGUUACGCACCUCGACUCUCAUGAAAUAAGUGCUUUAUGACCGAGUGUCUGCUAUGUGUAUCAGUACGAGGAGAGUCAUGAAAUAAGGACUUUAUGUCCGAGUGUGUAACAGUACGAGGGGUGUCAUGAAAUAUUAUCUCCGAGUGUUUGCUAUUGUAUCAGUGCGUGGAGUGUUUUCAAAUAAGAGCUUUUAUGUUCAUUUGUGUUUGCUAUGUGAAUUAGUGUAUGUCGAC
Molecule: unclassified non-coding RNA, 308 nt
Filed under: Hevea brasiliensis (rubber tree)
Lineage: Eukaryota; Viridiplantae; Streptophyta; Magnoliopsida; Malpighiales; Euphorbiaceae
Source: RNAcentral